CCUACGGGUGGCAGCAGUGAGGAAUAUUGGUCAAUGGACGAGAGUCUGAACCAGCCAAGUAGCGUGAAGGAUGACUGCCCUAUGGGGUGUAAACUUCUGUUAUAGGGGAAUAAAAUGUUCCACGUGUGGGAUUUUGUAUGGACCAUAUGAAUAAGGAUCGGCUAACUCCGUGCCAGCAGCCGCGGUAAUACGGAGGAUCCGAGCGUUAUCCGGAUUUAUGGGGUUUCAAGGGAGCGUAGGGGGCUUGUUAAGUCAGUUGUGACAGUUUGCGGCUCAACCGUAAAAUUGCAGUUGAAACUGGCAGUCUUGAUUACAGUCGUGGUGGGCUGACUUCGUUUUGUAGCGG
RNAcentral lists this ribosomal RNA (346 nucleotides) under uncultured bacterium. Its description in RNAcentral is "partial 16S ribosomal RNA". It matches the Rfam family "Bacterial small subunit ribosomal RNA", at positions 338 to 681 of the family's 1533-position model. The record is from RNAcentral.